CUUCCCGCGCGCGUCCUCUCCCCUCCCCUCCCACGCGCCUCCUCUCCUCCCACCCACAUCGCCGCCACCCACCGCCUCGAACCGCGCCGUCAGCGGCCAGAUCCGCCGCAACAGAGCCCCCCUCCCAACGACGACGAGCAGCAGUGGAGGGAGGACGAGGAGCGCGACGGCGGCAGCGGCGGCGGGGAGCAGCAGCAGCAGGCCAAGGCGACACAGCAACAGGCCUUGGGCUUGGGCGACGUCGACGCCGCCAAGAUAAGCAGCAGAAGAGGAGAGUUCAUCCCCUCCUGGCCCGACACCGGCAGCCAUGGGUCUGCGCCUCCUCUCUGCCUCUGCAGAGGAGAGGGGCGGGGAUGAGCUUGCAGCUCUUGAUGUGCUUCAAUUCGAUUUGGAGUAGAGCAAUUGAUGUAUUCCUACAGCUGCUGUAGAGGAUAGGAGAGCACAUCACACAAUUCUCCACCUUUAAUGAACAACGUCCGGCAUCUCCGCUCCACGGCUUCACCGACUAGCUAGGUGAGCCCCUUUGCUUGGUCAACUCUAAUACAUUCCUAUUAUAGAUCUGUCCAGGAUUUUAUGUGAUUGGGCCUGCUGUUGAUCUAUGAUGCACAGAACGAGUGAUUUGUGGUUGAGUAGUCCAUUUAGCCCUUUCGAUGCUUGCUGUGUAAUCCACCGUGUAUCAUAUUGUUCAGAUCCCAUGAGUAGCCAUUUUUUACCUGUACAUGUUUGCUCUGUGGUCGACCAUGUAUCAGACUGUUUAGUUUGACCGCUUGCCUCUGCUAAUUGUAGUCAACCCAUCACACGAUUGAUGUUUGUAUGGCUUGCCUUUAAAGAAUGUGCCCUGCCAUGUUUAAAAGCAGGUCCGCAUCAUCGUUAUGUUGCUACAAAUCUCUGUUUUUUUUCAGAUUCCUGUUGCACGUAUACCUUGCUUGUCCUGGACUUGCCCCUGAUAACAAAAAAUGUGUCGAGUGUUUGCCGGUUCAAUUCUGCCAUAUUACAUUACCAUGGAUAACAUGUAUUAAUCUGUUAAGCUUUUCUUGCUGCAUAGGACUACUUGUAGACUCGAUAUGAUUUAGUUGAUUGUUGGUUCUUGUGCCUAGGACCAGAUCGGUCCUUUGCUGUUGUCUGUGGCUUUACUAGCUUAAUAUCUCCACCUGUUGCUUUUAUGGUGCAUGCCCUAUGUAGAAGACUUGUGUAAGCGUAUACCUUGCAAGGUACUGUUUACUCAUGGUUCAGGUUAGGGGACUCAGAGCGGCGGAUUGACUGAUGACAGGAUUUUGGUUGCGCAGAUGAGCUGGAGGUGUCGGAUGUGUCCACGGUGUUGGAUGUGCCUCAGGAUCUGAAUGAACAAUAGGCUAGGCAUACCACUCUCUUGUCCAGUGCCGUUCUUUGUGUGUGUGCCUCUUCUAGUGUGAUCUACUUCUUGACAUAUCCCUAGGCAUCUUGACAUAUCUCUAGACAGGUUCUCAUGUUCAGCGCAUCCAGUUUGGUUGAUUAUUUUGGGGGGCUUAUUUUGGAAAGGCUUUGAGAGACUGUCUGAAUCACCACCUUGUGUUAAUAGAAUUAUACAUAGUUUUGUACAGCCAUUUCAUUUGCAUAGGGCUACGAAGUACAAUCAAACAAUCUGCAGCUUAGCACUACUGUAUUUCCUGGACUCCCCAAUUUGGGAUUUAAGCAUUGAGGCGUUGAAUAUGUCUAUAUGAACUGUAGUUCUAUAUUCCCUGCUACUCGAGCUGGCUCUCUCUCUCUCCGACGUCUUGGUUUGCAGGCCGCUGCGUGGUGAGGUACUGACUAAGGAGCAUGAAUCGCCACCACCACGUACCAGAUGUUGCCGUCAAGGUCGGCGUCAUAGUGACUGUCGAUGACUUGCAGCUGAUGCAUUGAUCAACACCGGUCUGGCGAAACUGAGCUAUAAAUAUGUGAAAAUCGAUGAUUGGUGGGCAGAAUUAAAGAGGGAUUACCAAAGAGAUACACCUGAGCAAGCAGCUAGACCCAAGAUUGCAGGCUUCCAUACACAGUUAUCAAGGGCCUACUGAAAUAUUGGCCCAUCAGAAACAGCACCAAGGAGGUGAUGUGUUUGGGAGAGUUGGAAGAGAUACUAGAAGCUACACAGCCUGCGGAGUUUCAGAAAUGCAUGGUUCCUCUUUUCCGCCAGAUUGCAGGUUGUCUGAAUAAUUCUCACUUUCAGGACUGUUUGGGAUAUCAAGCAGAAAAUUGUUCUUGGCAUGGCUGUCAAUCGUGGCUGCUACAUUGGUCAAAGCCAGAGCCUUAAUAUCAGCAUGGGUCAAGUCAACUCCGAGAAGCUAACUUCACUGCACUUCCACGCCUGGUGCAAGGUUUUCCUGUCGAUUUAGAUAUAGUUCUAACACUCCAUGAUUAUACUGAAAAUUUCAGCAGUCGGUGUUGAACAGGUCAUUAUGGCGCUAUGCUUGAGCGAGUCACAUGAUAAGGCGUUUAACCAAAGCUAUCUAUAUGUGUAAUCUGUUACUAUACAAUAUUAGAAUCAAAUAGAUUGGUUAUUCUGGGCUAUCUUUGUGCCUUGCUUUUAUUUAUUUUCGAUAAACUGGCAGGAGCGCUGCCUUUCAAGUAGAAGAAGAGAGAGUGUUACAAAUACUUUACACAAGGCUUUUCCCUACAAGAGUCCGGAGGCGGGGGAGCCUCUCAAACAUCACCGGCAUGCGGAUUACUCACGAAUGAGAAAGCAACUAGAUCUUGGUGCCUUUCCGCUCUGCUAAGGUUUGGAAAGCACAGGCCACCCCCAAAUGCAAGCUCUUCGCCUAGCUUGUCCUGCAUGGAAGAAUCCUCACGGUGGAAAACCUGGCAAUUCUGAAACUGUACUUGCAAAGGUGGGUUGGAGAGGAAAUUGUCGAUGCUCAAGCCAUGUCAAGAAGUGGAGCAAGAAGAGUGAAUCGGGAAAACUGGGAACACGUCUAUUUUUUAUGGCUUAUCCUUAGGUUGUAUUUGUUGUGGCGAAUUGACCGAGUUUUCUUACCGCUGUCGAUGCUGGCCAAUAAUGAAUCAUUGAGGAAUGUUGAACCAUUAAGAGUUGAAUUUAGGGUCUACUUAUUGUCGUAGUAUUGUAUAGUUUUAGCAUCUCCAUUGCCUGUUGUUCUCUUAUUAGCUUUUAUAAUCUCAUCAUGAUCGUGUUGAAUGUUUCUUCUUUCUCUCAUGUACCAGAAAACAAUUGUCAUGUCGAAUACAUGUGGUAAACUUACCUUUUUACUAAAGCAUCAUGCCAUGUAA
RNA transcript from Aegilops tauschii subsp. strangulata, 3240 nucleotides. RefSeq lists it as uncharacterized. The record is from RefSeq and is a predicted model, not a curated record. NCBI's taxonomy places the organism in Eukaryota, Viridiplantae, Streptophyta, Magnoliopsida, Poales, Poaceae.